This is a non-coding RNA of Pogona vitticeps (central bearded dragon), 348 nucleotides long. Lineage: Eukaryota; Metazoa; Chordata; Lepidosauria; Squamata; Agamidae. The record is from RefSeq and is a predicted model, not a curated record.
UCCUCCUUCUCCUUCACUUCACAUGCCAGCAUGGCUCUAUGAAAAACUUUGGGACAACAUAGAUGUAAACAAUGGUUCUCACCAACAACUGCCAGUGGACCACAACUCAAGUGUAAGGAAGCAGCUAUGAAAAUCUUAUCAAUGUGAUGCAGGUGUCCAGCAACUUAAAAUGUUCUUUGUCAGCUGAAGAAGUGCCUAACAAUUUUGGUUUCCAAAGCGGCGCCUCUGGGAGGUCAAAAGCAAGGAAUGUUCUGCUUCCUAUUUGUGAUCUAUAUAAUAUUGUGAAAUAUAUACAUCUAUACAUACAACACAAGAAACUGCUUUUCCCAAGUGAAAUAAAUAGCCUAU